RNAcentral lists this long non-coding RNA (356 nucleotides) under Pan troglodytes (chimpanzee). Its description in RNAcentral is "long non-coding RNA NONPTRT004533". Lineage: Eukaryota; Metazoa; Chordata; Mammalia; Primates; Hominidae. The record is from RNAcentral.
GAGGAGGAAACUUAUGUGCAGAGCAGACAUAUAACCUUCCUAUAGUCACUGGUGGAAUAGGUGGUCUAGCUAAGACUUUGUUCCAGGUUUCAGGACCCCAGAUCUGUGUCCUUAAAUCAAAUGGGCAAAGAAGGAAUACACAAUGGAAAUGUUCUAAAGUAGAUAUUACAAGAAAAGAGAGACAAAAGAGACAAGCCAAUAGGGUGAAAUCUUUCUAAAUUUUAGUCAAGAUGAAGGGAAUGUUAUGGCCCUGUUGGUGAGAUUUUGUGUUCUAUUUUCUAUCCAUUGUUACUCACCUGAACCAAUGACACAUUAUAUUGAUCACAAUGACUGUAUGCCAAACUUUGAGGUCAAUA